UUGAAUUGUAAGAUGUCAACGGAGAACAGAAGCUGGAAUGUGAACACAGAGGAAGGGGCAGACUGGAUGUGUGAGAUCCCGAAAACAUAUGGCGAUAUCAGGUGGCACAAAUAAAGGGAAAUAGACUUGUCACCAUCUUCAGUCCUUUAUUUCAUUCACUGGAGAACAUCACAGCCUUCAGAUGUGUCAAAUUAGGAUAAAUGCAACUGCAGGACUCGUCGGGCCCACCCCACUACAGAUUCACCCAGGAUCCAGCUGAUCACUGCCAAUUUGGAGGAGGAUUGUCCUUUAUCUGCUACAUUGCACUCUCACUUCUGAGGCUGUUAAGAAGAUUGCACUGAUGUCAAAGAUCAACCAGCAACAAUCUGAGAGGGAACUCUCAAAAUGGUUUACUGGGACAAGAGACAGAGGAGGACUGAGGGUGUCUAUAAUGCACAAAUGUCUGUCUGCAGUGUAAGCAGUACUGAAAAAUGUAUAGUUGCUGCUGCUGUUUCUUACUGUCUCUGUUUUUUUUAUGUGCAAAUGUUCAAAGCUUUCAAUAAACACUGGUUCAAAUAUAAGUUCAAAAUGUUUGUUAACUUUAACAAUUACAUAAUUUUAACAAUUAGGUAUCAGAAUAUAGCAUAUGAUGGGUAGUUUCAAUAAAAUUGAAAUUUGAAAAGAUUUAAAUCUCACUGUGUACUGCUGUAUGCUAAUGCUUUAAAACUUUUUUUUUAAUCCCACUUGCAAGCCAUAGUUUAUCCCAUGUAGUUCCCACAUAGAGUUUGAAGAUGGGACCUA
Labeo rohita (rohu) is the source of this 780-nucleotide long non-coding RNA. RefSeq lists it as uncharacterized. NCBI's taxonomy places the organism in Eukaryota, Metazoa, Chordata, Actinopteri, Cypriniformes, Cyprinidae. The transcript has 4 exons. The record is from RefSeq and is a predicted model, not a curated record.